Molecule: long non-coding RNA, 2293 nt
Organism: Corapipo altera (White-ruffed manakin)
Lineage: Eukaryota; Metazoa; Chordata; Aves; Passeriformes; Pipridae
Exons: 4
Source: RefSeq, a predicted model, not a curated record
GCUGAACUCACUGAGCUAUCAGAGAUAAGCACAGGCAGACUUGUUUACACAACUAGGCAAUGAUGUACCUUACCUUUACUGUAGGCUGGCAGUGGCUUCUUAAUUUUUGAACAGGAUUUUCAAAGUUCUCCAAAACUUUAGAAGCAUCUUCUGCAAACAGCUGACAAUGAGAACUUUUCCACUUUAUGAUGCAGAGGUUUUUCAGUCAGAGAACUGGGGCACUCUAGAUCCAGCCAGGGCUUUGAAAAAGAGAGACAACUGGAUCCCUUACUUAAAGGCAAUGUAACUUGUGAGCAAUUCAGUGGCAGCAACAUCCUUGGCUCGUGUCUCUGGAUCAAUGCCCUGUGCUGCUUGACCUCUGGACCUGUGAAACUGCUCUCUUGGGGAAAAAAUGCCAGCUCACCAGCAUGCUUUGAAACCCAGAGGAAAGAUUAACUUUGGCCCAAGUGAAGAUUGAGAUCAUGUAUAAACAUCCACGGUUUGAUCUCAAGCUUCAGUGUAUGUCAGCACCUACACAGAUGAAUGUAUGUGUUUGCAACUUCACCUCAAGCUGCUGAGGGACACAGUAAACCAAUAAGUAGGUUGAAUUUACGGUACAGCCACGUUGGGUGAGUAGGAGGUGAAAUCCAUAAUGGGAAACUUUGAUUAAAGCCUGCACAGGUUUACAGUGUUAAGAUGGGUUGCUACUAAUAUAAAAAUGAAGUCCAUGGAUGUUUUGUAAAUAGAAGGCCCGAUGUUCAAGAGAAAGCUAUAAUUUCCUCAGCAUAAGAAAUAAAAUGUUGGAAAAUUGCAGAGCUUCAUAUGUCAUGCCACAUCUGGUGUUGUUUGUGACAACUGGAAAUAAUAGUUGAGAGGCACGGAAGGUAAAUAAAAUGAUAGCUGUGAAUUGCUGCACUUAUAAUUAAAGAACAGCAUUUCAAAUCCUCAUGUUUUUCCUCUGGUCUAAAAAUCUGCCUCAGCUUUCCUCUAUAUACUGCCACAGGAUAUUUUCUUUCUCUGAGCUUUGAUUUCAGAGGCUGCAAGUUGGGAAGUUUAAUUAGCUAGCUUUUGUAACUUGUCUUUUAGUCCACAAUUGGAAGUUUGGGGUUUGGUGCAAUAGGCUACUGUUGUGCUGCUGUUGCCACUGGUGCUACCAUAUUGCUAGCAAUAAAAAUGGAACAUUGUCAGCAUCAUUGGAGCUCAAGUUUUGUUUUGAAUGAAUAUGAAAGACUCAAAAUAAUUUUUGCAUGAAUGAUUCAUCAAGAGUGGGUAUAGAGAUAAUUGAUUUGAAAACCUGUAAAUAUAUAUAUGUAUAUGUAUAGAGAGAAGUUUUUCCAGCUUAUGUUUAAAUAAAGAAUAGUUGAUUUUUGACUUGUACUCUAACUAUAUGUGGAUUUUAUUGGCUAAUGUCACUUGUGUUUAUUUAUAAGUUUUAGGCAGAUGCCCAGAGGGAAUACACCCACAAGGCUUGUUUGCUUCUGUUAGAAGCUUCCCCCACGUCCGACAGAGUCAAUGCCAGCUGGGUCCAAGAUGGACCCACUGCUGGUCAGUGCUGAGCCCAGCAGUGACGGUGGUAGCACCUCCGGGAUUAAAGAUUUAAGAAGGAGGAAAAAAACCUGUGCAACAGUAACUGCGUUCAGAGAGAGGAGUGAGAAGAAACAGCCCUGCAGAUACCAGAGUCAGUGUAGAAGAAGGGGGAGGAAGUGCCUCAGGCAUCAGAGCAGAGGUUCCCCUGCAGCCCAUUGUGCAGAUUAUGGUGAGACAGGUUGUCCCGCUGCAGCCCAUGGAGGUCCAUGGGGGAACAGAGAUCCACCUGCAGAACCUGGAGCACCCCACACUGGAGAAGGUGAAUGCCAAAAGGAGGCUGUGAUCCCAUGAAAAGCCUGUGCUGGAGCAGGCUCCUGGUAGGACCUGUGGCCUCAUGGGGACAGGAGCCCACACUGGAGCAGGUGUGUUGGCAGGACUUCUGAUGCUGCAGGGGACCUAUGCUAGAGCAGCCUGUUCAUAAUGGACUGCACCCCAUGGAAGGGACACGUGCUGGAGCAGUUUGAAAAGAACUGCAACCUGUGGGAAGGACUCAGGUUGGAGAAGUUUGUGGAGGACUGUUUCCUGUGGGAGGGAAGAGGGGAAGAGCAUGAGCUGUCCUCCCACUGAAAAGGAAGGAGUGGCAAAGAUAACAUGUGAUGAACUGAUUGUAACUCCCAUUCUCCAUCCUUCUGCCCCACUGGUCAGGGGAGAUAGAGAAAAUCAGGACUGAAAUUGAGACCAGGAAGAAGGGAGGGGUGGGAGGAAGCUGUUUUAAGAUUUGAUUUUA